This 228-nucleotide ribosomal RNA is filed under the name uncultured bacterium. RNAcentral describes it as "partial 16S ribosomal RNA". It matches the Rfam family "Bacterial small subunit ribosomal RNA", at positions 568 to 795 of the family's 1533-position model. The record is from RNAcentral.
UGCGCAGGCGGGGCAAUAAGUCAGUGGUGAAAUCCUGCGGCUUAACCGUAGAACUGCCAUUGAUACUGUUGCCCUUGAGUAUAGUUGAGGUGGGCGGAAUAUGUAAUGUAGCGGUGAAAUGCAUAGAUAUUACAUAGAACACCAAUUGCGAAGGCAGCUCACUAAGCUAUCACUGACGCUGAGGCACGAAAGCGUGGGGAGCGAACAGGAUUAGAUACCCUGGUAGUC